AUAACACGUUUUAUUAGCGUUGGCUGAUUUUUUCGGAGAGGCACAAUGACAGACAUCGUGCUGAAUCUGUCUCUUCUCUGCUGGUUAUUUUCGCAUCCAUCACUUCUCCGGUGGUCCUUGUUUACGAUCGUAUCUCUGCUCGCUGUUUGCGUCGAAUCGAUCUGCUCGACACGUCACCCUAUUAGACCGGGAUGGAGAGAAAGAGAGAGAGAGAGAGCUUCUGAAGAGAAGGAAAGAAGAAUAAAAACCCGGCUUCUUUCCCUGUUCAAGCAUUUCAUCAUCACCGGGUCUUGUGGUUUGAUUCUGAGAUGAGGCUGACAUGAGAUGU
Molecule: long non-coding RNA, 328 nt
Organism: Rhinichthys klamathensis goyatoka
Lineage: Eukaryota; Metazoa; Chordata; Actinopteri; Cypriniformes; Leuciscidae
Exons: 3
Source: RefSeq, a predicted model, not a curated record